AAACUCAAAGGAAUUGACGGGGGCCCGCACAAGUGGUGGAGCAUGUGGUUUAAUUCGAUGCAACGCGAAGAACCUUACCUGGUCUUGACAUCCACAGAACUUUCCAGAGAUGGAUUGGUGCCUUCGGGAACUGUGAGACAGGUGCUGCAUGGCUGUCGUCAGCUCGUGUUGUGAAAUGUUGGGUUAAGUCCCGCAACGAGCGCAACCCUUAUCCUUUGUUGCCAGCGGUUCGGCCGGGAACUCAAAGGAGACUGCCAGUGAUAAACUGGAGGAAGGUGGGGAUGACGUCAAGUCAUCAUGGCCCUUACGACCAGGGCUACACACGUGCUACAAUGGCAUAUACAAAGAGAAGCGACCUCGCGAGAGCAAGCGGACCUCAUAAAGUAUGUCGUAGUCCGGAUUGGAGUCUGCAACUCGACUCCAUGAAGUCGGAAUCGCUAGUAAUCGUAGAUCAGAAUGCUACGGUGAAUACGUUCCCGGGCCUUGUACACACCGCCCGU
This 500-nucleotide ribosomal RNA is filed under the name Klebsiella pneumoniae. Its description in RNAcentral is "bacterial SSU rRNA". It matches the Rfam family "Bacterial small subunit ribosomal RNA", at positions 897 to 1397 of the family's 1533-position model. The record is from RNAcentral. Lineage: Bacteria; Pseudomonadati; Pseudomonadota; Gammaproteobacteria; Enterobacterales; Enterobacteriaceae.